UACGUAGGGAGCAAGCGUUGUCCGGAUUUAUUGGGCGUAAAGAGCUCGUAGGCGGUUCCGUAAGUCGGGUGUGAAAAAUCUGGGCUCAACCCAGUGGAGCACCCGAUACUGCGGUGACUGGAGUCCGGUAGGGGAGUGUGGAAUUCCUGGUGUAGCGGUGAAAUGCGCAGAUAUCAGGAGGAACACCGACAGCGAAGGCAGCACUCUGGGCCGGUACUGACGCUGAGGAGCGAAAGCAUGGGGAGCGAACAGG
RNAcentral lists this ribosomal RNA (253 nucleotides) under uncultured bacterium. Its description in RNAcentral is "partial 16S ribosomal RNA". It matches the Rfam family "Bacterial small subunit ribosomal RNA", at positions 524 to 776 of the family's 1533-position model. The record is from RNAcentral.